RNAcentral lists this ribosomal RNA (253 nucleotides) under uncultured bacterium. RNAcentral describes it as "partial 16S ribosomal RNA". It matches the Rfam family "Bacterial small subunit ribosomal RNA", at positions 524 to 776 of the family's 1533-position model. The record is from RNAcentral.
UACGAAGGGUGCAAACGUUGCUCGGAAUCAUUGGGCGUAAAGCGCACGUAGGCGGCCUUGUAAGUCGGAUGUGAAAUCCCUCGGCUCAACCGAGGAAGUGCAUCCGAAACUGCGGGGCUCGAGUAUGGAAGAGGGUCGCAGAAUUCCCGGUGUAGAGGUGAAAUUCGUAGAUAUCGGGAGGAAUACCAGUGGCGAAGGCGGCGACCUGGGCCAAUACUGACGCUGAGGUGCGAAAGCGUGGGGAGCAAACAGG